Molecule: microRNA, 21 nt
Filed under: Brachypodium distachyon (stiff brome)
Lineage: Eukaryota; Viridiplantae; Streptophyta; Magnoliopsida; Poales; Poaceae
Description: bdi-miR7725b-5p.1
Source: miRBase by way of RNAcentral
ACUAGGGAGAUGGUUUUCGCU